Molecule: ribosomal RNA, 253 nt
Filed under: uncultured bacterium
Lineage: Bacteria
Description: partial 16S ribosomal RNA
Rfam family: Bacterial small subunit ribosomal RNA
Source: RNAcentral
UACGGGGGGGGCAAGCGCUGUUCGGAAUUACUGGGCGUAAAGGGCGCGUAGGCGGCCUGCUAAGUCGGAUGUGAAAUCCCUCGGCUCAACCGAGGAACUGCAUCCGAUACUGGCGGGCUUGAAUCCGGGAGAGGGAUGUGGAAUUCCAGGUGUAGCGGUGAAAUGCGUAGAUAUCUGGAGGAACACCGGUGGCGAAGGCGGCAUCCUGGACCGGUAUUGACGCUGAGGCGCGAAAGCUAGGGGAGCAAACGGG